Non-coding RNA from Pelobates cultripes (western spadefoot toad), 764 nucleotides. Lineage: Eukaryota; Metazoa; Chordata; Amphibia; Anura; Pelobatidae. The record is from the annotation of a GenBank genome assembly.
GUUUUGGCAAAAAGUUUAAGAUCCACAUUUAAUAGCGAGAUUGGCCGAUAAUUCCUGCAGCUGGAGGAAUCUUUCCCUUUCUUUGGUAUUACCGUGACAACCGCGCGAAGUGAAUCCGCCGGAAAUUGGCCUCCAGUCAGGAUGGAGUUCAGACCCCGCAACAAGUGCGUGAGCAGAACUUCUCUGAAAGUACGUAUAUAUGAGACCGGGAGGCCGUCCAUGCCCGGGGCCUUGUUGGUCUUGGCAGGUUUGAGGGCCUAUGUUAGCUAGUGUUGCUAUUUUGUGUGUUAGUUCUGUCAUGUGUAUGGUAAAGUUUCUUAUGUGUUGAGUGCAGUGUUUGAUGAAAUGUCCCCAUGUCACGUAUUUGUGCGCACGGUUAGCGGGGCCACGUCAGGUGUUUGAGUUGUUUGUGUUACAGACUCCACGUCUGUUAGCGUGUUUUUGUUGAGCUUCCAUUGAAAGUCACGUGCUUGGAGUAGGGGCAAUUUAAACUCGAUUGAGACUGGGGCGUGGUCCGACACCCUGAAUCCCUAUAAAAGAGGAGAUUAGGAGGGGAAGGAAUGCCUGUGCCUGGAAAAUAUAGUCAAUUCUAUAAUAUUGGUUAUGUGCCGCAGAAUAGCAUGUGUAGUCUCUAGCGUCUGGGUGCGCCACCCUCCAGCAAUCGGCUAAUCCCAGUCUGUUAAGAACCUGCUUGACCCGUCGGAUACAGUGCAUUGGGAUGGCGCUAAUAACUCUAGGGAGUCCAUUCAGGGGUCCAGUGGUAG